CCAGUAACGGCGAGUGAAGCGGGAAGAGCUCAAGCUUAAAAUCUCCAUACUUGUAUGGCGAAUUGUAGUCUAUUGAGGCUGUUGUCAGCAUCGCGAUUGGGGACAAGUCCCUUGGAAAAGGGCAGCAUGGAGGGUGAUACUCCCGUCUCUGCUCCAAUUUGCGGUGUGUACGAUACGCUUUCUUUGAGUCGAGUUGUUUGGGAAUACAGCUCAAAGUAGGUGGUAAAUUCCAUCUAAAGCUAAAUAUUGGUGCAAGACCGAUAGCGAACAAGUACCGUGAGGGAAAGAUGAAAAGAACUUUGAAAAGAGAGUUAAAGAGUACCUGAAACUGUUGAAAGGGAACCGUAUCGCUUCCAGUGUUUUAUCUCGUGCAUAUUUCAUUCGCGGAGCAAUUUGCGGGUGCCCUGUGCAUGGGUGUGACGUCAGGGUCAGUUUGUAUGCUGCGGGAGAUGGUCAGUGAGGAGGUGCGUCACUUCGGUGAAAGUUAUAUCUCGCUGUCUAGUAGCCGUGGUUGAGACUGAGGUGCCUACAACAUGCCUUAAAGUUCCGCGUUGUCUCGUGUUGGUGACUGCUUUGAUAGCUUGCUAUGUCUGUGGUUCAUCAAUGCGAUCGGUGGUGUGGAUAACUUUUGCUGUUCGGGACUCUGGCGAAAUGGAGCGAUACGACCCGUCUUGAAACACGGACCAAGGAGUCUAACAUGUGUGCAAGUAUUAGGGCGUGGAAACCCAAAUGCGUAAUGAAAGUAAAUGCUGCUUAUGCAGCUUUGGUAGGAAAGGGCUGUCAAGGUCCUGGCACUAUCGACCGAUCAU
This 809-nucleotide ribosomal RNA is filed under the name Oomycota sp. RNAcentral's name for it is "Oomycetes sp. partial large subunit ribosomal RNA". It matches the Rfam family "Eukaryotic large subunit ribosomal RNA", at positions 80 to 772 of the family's 3401-position model. The record is from RNAcentral. Lineage: Eukaryota; Oomycota.